This 543-nucleotide ribosomal RNA is filed under the name uncultured bacterium. RNAcentral's name for it is "bacterial SSU rRNA". It matches the Rfam family "Bacterial small subunit ribosomal RNA", at positions 777 to 1318 of the family's 1533-position model. The record is from RNAcentral.
AAUAGAUACCCGGGUAGUCCACGCCGUAAACGGUGGGUACUAGGUGUGGGUUUCCUUCCUUUAGGGAUCCGUGCCGUAGCUAACGCAUUAAGUACCCCGCCUGGGGAGUACGGCCGCAAGGCUAAAACUCAAAGGAAUUGACGGGGGCCGCACAAGCGGCGGAGCAUGUGGAUUAAUUCGAUGCAACGCGAAGAACCUUACCUGGGUUUGACAUGCACAGGACGCCGGUAGAGAUAUCGGUUCCCUUGUGGCCUGUGUGCAGGUGGUGCAUGGCUGUCGUCAGCUCGUGUCGUGAGAUGUUGGGUUAAGUCCCGCAACGAGCGCAACCCUUGUCUCAUGUUGCCAGCACGUUAUGGUGGGGACUCGUGAGAAACUGCCGGGGUCAACUCGGAGGAAGGUGGGGAUGACGUCAAGUCAUCAUGCCCCUUAUGUCCAGGGCUUCACACAUGCUACAAUGGCCGGUACAAAGGGCUGCGAUCCCGUGAGGGUUAGCGAAUCCUUUAAAGCCGGUCUCAGUUCGGAUUGGGGUCUGCAACUCAACCC